Molecule: long non-coding RNA, 307 nt
Organism: Salvator merianae (Argentine black and white tegu)
Lineage: Eukaryota; Metazoa; Chordata; Lepidosauria; Squamata; Teiidae
Source: Ensembl
UUUGAAAGUUUGGGGCAUUUUGGGCCAAAAUCUCUACUUCACACGCUUCCUUGGUGAAAUUCUGCAAUGUAGAUGAAUCUUACAGCAAGAAAAUGUUCAAACCAGGCUUGCCAUUUUAACCUGUAAUGGUCUUGAUGUCACUGUUCCAGUCAAAUGAUUGAAAAACCUUGAUACUUCGCAUGCUGUUCUCUAACAGCUUCUCCAGACUUAAAAAGCCCUUUCCUUGGGAAAAGAAUAAGAAUUGCAGGUGGUCAAGAACUUCUUUCCAGAAUAUGUCAGAACGUCAUUAUGGUCCCAUCAAGCAACA